RNAcentral lists this ribosomal RNA (372 nucleotides) under uncultured bacterium. Its description in RNAcentral is "bacterial SSU rRNA". It matches the Rfam family "Bacterial small subunit ribosomal RNA", at positions 524 to 898 of the family's 1533-position model. The record is from RNAcentral.
UACGGAGGAUGCAAGCGUUAUCCGGAUUCAUUGGGUUUAAAGGGUGCGCAGGCGGAUUGUUAAGUCAGGGGUGAAAUCCUACAGCUCAACUGUAGAACUGCCCUUGAUACUGUCAGUCUAGAGUAUAGUUGAAGUGGGCGGAAUGUGUCAUGUAGCGGUGAAAUGCUUAGAUAUGACACAGAACACCGAUCGCGAAGGCAGCUCGCUAAGCUAUAACUGACGCUCAUGCACGAAAGCGUGGGGAUCAAACAGGAUUAGAUACCCUGGUAGUCCACGCUGUAAACGAUGAUUACUCGAUGUUGGCGAUACACAGUCAGCGUCUGAGCGAAAGCAAUAAGUAAUCCACCUGGGGAGUACGAUCGCAAGAUUGAA